GGAGAUGUAACUCAGGGAUAGAGCACUUGCCUGCCAUGCAUGAAGCCUUGGGUUCAAUCCCCAGUAUCGCAA
Molecule: transfer RNA, 72 nt
Filed under: Ictidomys tridecemlineatus (thirteen-lined ground squirrel)
Lineage: Eukaryota; Metazoa; Chordata; Mammalia; Rodentia; Sciuridae
Description: Spermophilus tridecemlineatus (thirteen-lined ground squirrel) tRNA
Rfam family: tRNA
About the family: Transfer RNA (tRNA) molecules are approximately 80 nucleotides in length. Their secondary structure includes four short double-helical elements and three loops (D, anti-codon, and T loops). Further hydrogen bonds mediate the characteristic L-shaped molecular structure. tRNAs have two regions of fundamental functional importance: the anti-codon, which is responsible for specific mRNA codon recognition, and the 3' end, to which the tRNAs corresponding amino acid is attached (by aminoacyl-tRNA synthetases). tRNAs cope with the degeneracy of the genetic code in two manners: having more than one tRNA (with a specific anti-codon) for a particular amino acid; and 'wobble' base-pairing, i.e. permitting non-standard base-pairing at the 3rd anti-codon position.
Source: Rfam by way of RNAcentral